GGGGGGAGCACAGGAUCAUGGGCUGUGUCCCCGGCACCCUGGGAUCUGGCCCCUGUGCUGCAGGAAUCGCACUCCCAGGGCUGCGUCUCCCC
This 92-nucleotide microRNA precursor is filed under the name Canis lupus dingo (dingo). RNAcentral describes it as "mir-8799 microRNA precursor family". It matches the Rfam family "mir-8799 microRNA precursor family". The record is from Rfam by way of RNAcentral. Lineage: Eukaryota; Metazoa; Chordata; Mammalia; Carnivora; Canidae.